This is a long non-coding RNA of Zea mays, 600 nucleotides long. RefSeq lists it as uncharacterized. The transcript has 2 exons. The record is from RefSeq and is a predicted model, not a curated record. Lineage: Eukaryota; Viridiplantae; Streptophyta; Magnoliopsida; Poales; Poaceae.
UGGCCUGGUAUUUGUGCUUGUUGGCCACGUGUGCUCUCCCAUGAGGUGCUGGCACCCUUGGGGCCCUUCUUCACCAAGAUAUGGCUGAGCUCGAUGCCUCUGUCCUCUUAUCCUGUGUACUGCAGAGCUUGGUCUAGUGGAGCUUUUCCUUGCCCUCGAGUUCUAGCCAGUGUUCCUCACGAGAUCGAGGUAGUUCCUGUGUUCAAACCAGUGUUAGCUCCUCUUCUCAGUCACUAGGUUGUUCUGCCUUUGUGCUGCGCCUGCCAACCCUAUUGUCUGGUGACCACACCCACCGAAACCUCCCACCUCGCUGUGGCCAAAGCGUUCCAGUGAGUUGCAUGCCCGUGUGGUCUUCGUUCCGUGGUCUUCAAAGGAGAAGUUUUAUUCCCCUAUCUUUGGGUUAGUUACUUCAUGUGGAGGACUUGAAGCUUAGAAGGUUUUUAUAUAUAUCUCUUAUGGAAAGGCUUCACCCUUCCAAUUAUUGUAGUUAAGUUAUGCCCUUCGAGUACUAUCAGGACUUGUAAUAAAUACAUCGCUUUCUACCAUGUAAAACUUGAGUUCUGGAAUGUAAAGUGUACUUUGUGAAAGUCUUCCGCUCUA